GACGAACGCUGGCGGCGUGCUUAACACAUGCAAGUCGAACGGAAAGGCCCUGCUUUUGUGGGGUGCUCGAGUGGCGAACGGGUGAGUAACACGUGAUAACCUGCCCUUGACUUUGGGAUAACUUCAGGAAACUGGGGCUAAUACCGGAUAGGAGCUCCUGCUGCAUGGUGGGGGGUGGAAAGUUUCGGCGGUUGGGGAUGGACUCGCGGCUUAUCAGCUUGUUGGUGGGGUAGUGGCUUACCAAGGCUUUGACGGGUAGCCGGCCUGAGAGGGUGACCGGCCACAUUGGGACUGAGAUACAGCCCAGACUCCUACGGGAGGCAGCAGUGGGGAAUAUUGCACAAUGGGCGGAAGCCUGAUGCAGCAACGCCGCGUGCGGGAUGACGGCCUUCGGGUUGUAAACCGCUUUCGCCUGUGACGAAGCGUGAGUGACGGUAAUGUGUAAAGAAGCACCGGCUAACUACGUG
Molecule: ribosomal RNA, 467 nt
Filed under: uncultured bacterium
Lineage: Bacteria
Description: partial 16S ribosomal RNA
Rfam family: Bacterial small subunit ribosomal RNA
Source: RNAcentral